This 253-nucleotide ribosomal RNA is filed under the name uncultured bacterium. RNAcentral's name for it is "partial 16S ribosomal RNA". It matches the Rfam family "Bacterial small subunit ribosomal RNA", at positions 524 to 776 of the family's 1533-position model. The record is from RNAcentral.
UACGUAGGGUGCGAGCGUUGUCCGGAAUUAUUGGGCGUAAAGAGCUCGUAGGCGGUGUGUCGCGUCGGCCGUGAAAACCUGCAGCUUAACUGUGGGCUUGCGGUCGAUACGGGCAUCACUGGAGUUCGGCAGGGGAGACUGGAAUCCUGGUGUAGCGGUGAAAUGCGCAGAUAUCAGGAGGAACACCGGUGGCGAAGGCGGGUCUCUGGGCCGAUACUGACGCUGAGGAGCGAAAGCGUGGGGAGCGAACAGG